Molecule: ribosomal RNA, 1047 nt
Filed under: Catunica adiposa
Lineage: Eukaryota; Fungi; Ascomycota; Sordariomycetes; Microascales; Ceratocystidaceae
Description: LSU rRNA
Rfam family: Eukaryotic large subunit ribosomal RNA
Source: RNAcentral
AGGUUGACCUCGGAUCAGGUAGGAAUACCCGCUGAACUUAAGCAUAUCAAUAACGGAGGAAAAGAAACCAACAGGAUUGCCUUAGUAACGGCGAGCGAACGGCAACAGCUCAAAUUUGAAAUCUGGCUACUUCGUAGUCCGAGUUGUAAUUUGUAGAGGAUGCUUUUGGUGAAGUGCUUUCUGAGUUCCCUGGAACGGGACGCCAGAGAGGGUGAGAGCCCCGUACAGUUAGCAACUGAUCCUUUGUAUAGCUCCUUCGACGAGUCGAGUAGUUUGGGAAUGCUGCUCUAAAUGGGAGGUAUAUCUCUUCUAAAGCUAAAUAUAGGCUAGAGACCGAUAGCGCACAAGUAGAGUGAUCGAAAGAUGAAAAGCACUUUGAAAAGAGAGUUAAACAGACGUGAAAUUGUUGAAAGGGAAGCGCCUAUGACCAGACUUGUCUCUAUCAGUUUUGGUAGUUUUCGGACUGCUUUACUCUGUUAGUACAGGCCAACAUCAGUUUGUUGUCGGGGAGAAAGGCUUAGGGAAUGUGGCUCUUCGGGAGUGUUAUAGCCCUUUGCAUAAUACCUUCGGCAGACUGAGGACCGCGCUUCGGCAAGGAUGUUGGCGUAAUGGCACAACGACCCGUCUUGAAACACGGACCAAGGAGUCAACCUUAUGUGCGAGUGUUUGGGUGUAAAACCCCAGCGCGUAAUGAACGUGAACGUAGGUGAGAGCUUCGGCGCAUCAUCGACCGAUUCUGAUGUUCUCGGAUGGAUUUGAGUAAGAGCAUAUAGGGUUGGACCCGAAAGAAGGUGAACUAUGCUUGUAUAGGGUGAAGCCAGAGGAAACUCUGGUGGAGGCUCGCAGCGGUUCUGACGUGCAAAUCGAUCGUCAAAUAUGAGCAUGGGGGCGAAAGACUAAUCGAACCUUCUAGUAGCUGGUUCCAGCCGAAGUUUCCCUCAGGAUAGCAGUGUUGAACUUCAGUUUUAUGAGGUAAAGCGAAUGAUUAGGGACUCGGGGGCGCUAUAUUGCCUUCAUCCAUUCUCAAACUUUAAAUAUGUAAGAAGC